RNAcentral lists this transfer RNA (75 nucleotides) under bacterium. RNAcentral's name for it is "tRNA-Glu". It matches the Rfam family "tRNA". Rfam says of the family: Transfer RNA (tRNA) molecules are approximately 80 nucleotides in length. The record is from RNAcentral.
GGCGCCAUCGUCUAGUGGUUAGGACGCCAGGUUUUCAUCCUGGAAACCGGAGUUCGAUUCUCCGUGGCGCUACCA